UGUCAGAAGUCUGUUUUUCUCAAGUUAGCAACAAAACAAAAAUAUUUAAUCCAUAUUUGUUUUACACAAAUAUUUUUACAUAAUUUUUUUCCCUCAUACAACUGUUUCAUGCUUUGGGUACACUGAUGAAAAUGAGAAAGAGUAAAUCCCGAUUGCCAGCCGUCUCAUGCAAACUAUGUAUAUCAAUUAAGAUGGGCGCAACAUGAGGAGUUGAAUUAGGAUGUCCAGAUUUACAGUUUAUCCCAAGGCAAGCCGCUUCAGCACCUGGGCCGACUCUCUGGGUUAUUUCUUCUUGUUUACGUGUGAACAAUGGUUGUGGAGUUUCGAGGCUUGAAAAGUGCUCUGACAAGGCAAAGGAAAACCCAAGGAUGCGAAAUUUCUCACUGAAUUAUGCUGCUGUUUAUUUCCCCUCCCAAAAGCUGGUAUGCCUCUAUCUUUGCAAUGCAC
Camellia sinensis is the source of this 447-nucleotide non-coding RNA. Lineage: Eukaryota; Viridiplantae; Streptophyta; Magnoliopsida; Ericales; Theaceae. The record is from RefSeq and is a predicted model, not a curated record.